GUGACAUGUUUUACUAUCGGAGAGUCGCGACUUCUAGGAGACGCGAAUCUCUGAAAUAAAAGUUAAUUACAACUUUCAGCAAUGGAUCUCUUGGCUCUCGCAUCGAUGAAGAACGCAGCGAAAAGCGAUAUGUAAUGUGAAUUGCAGAUCUACAGUGAAUCAUCGAAUCUUUGAACGCACCUUGCGCUCCUCGGUGUUCCGAGGAGCAUGCCUGUUUGAGCGUCAGUAAAUUCUCAACCCCUCUAGAUUUGUUUCGAGGGGGAGCUUGGAUGGUGGGGGCUGCCGGAGACUAGGACUCGUCCUGGACUCGGGCUCUCCUUAAAUGCAUCGGCUUGCGGUCGACUUUCGACUUUGCGCGACAAGGCUUUCGGCGUGAUAAUUAUCCCCGUUUGAUGAAGCGCAUGAAUGAAGGUUCCGUGCCUCUAAUGCGUCGACUUCCUAUCUCUUCGGAGAGAAAACGUCUUCCUUAUUGACUUUGACCUCAAAUCAGGUAGACU
This 497-nucleotide ribosomal RNA is filed under the name uncultured Rhizopogon. RNAcentral's name for it is "eukaryotic LSU rRNA". The stretch from base 71 to 225 matches the Rfam family "5.8S ribosomal RNA". Lineage: Eukaryota; Fungi; Basidiomycota; Agaricomycetes; Boletales; Rhizopogonaceae. The record is from RNAcentral.